Molecule: non-coding RNA, 468 nt
Organism: Poecilia reticulata (guppy)
Lineage: Eukaryota; Metazoa; Chordata; Actinopteri; Cyprinodontiformes; Poeciliidae
Source: RefSeq, a predicted model, not a curated record
GGACCUUCUAGCAGCCCUGAAGCAAAAAGACUGUAGCGGAAAAGAAGUGAUGCGCCUCCUGCUCUCAAUGUCUAAAGUCAAUCACACAAGCAGGAUGUGGCUCCCAGUAACAGGCCGACCAUCACAGUCCGGUCGGUGAUCUAUCACAUGCUGAAGGGGAAACGGCUUUUCUGCUGCUCGGGUCCCGUUUCCCUCCUCCGGUCGCCAUGGUGACGCUCAGCUAUGCAGAGCCUGAAUACAGUCAGCAGCUUCGCGGAAAGAGGCCUUUGUUACCCACAACCCCCCUCUCCUCCCCUCAUCGCUUUUCUGGUCGUUCUCAACUAAACUCUGGACUGGUCUCACGUCUAACACCAGUAUGAUACCAGUAUACACUACCAGUACGGGUCACUGCAUGAAAAAUAUUCAUGCAUCCUGAAUGUUUUUUCACACUGAAGCCCACAAACUUCAGUGCAGUUUAUUGGGAUUUUA